UACGAAGGGGGCUAGCGUUGUUCGGAAUUACUGGGCGUAAAGCGCACGUAGGCGGCCUGGUAAGUCCGCUGUGAAAGUCAAAGGCUCAACCUUUGAAUGUCAGCGGAUACUGCCAGGCUAGAGUCCGGAAGAGGCGAGUGGAAUUCCUGGUGUAGCGGUGGAAUGCGCAGAUAUCAGGAGGAACACCUGUGGCGAAAGCGGCUCACUGGGACGUUACUGACACUGAGGCGCGAAAGCGUGGGGAGCGAACAGG
RNAcentral lists this ribosomal RNA (253 nucleotides) under uncultured bacterium. RNAcentral's name for it is "partial 16S ribosomal RNA". It matches the Rfam family "Bacterial small subunit ribosomal RNA", at positions 524 to 776 of the family's 1533-position model. The record is from RNAcentral.